RNAcentral lists this ribosomal RNA (591 nucleotides) under Grosmannia serpens. Its description in RNAcentral is "eukaryotic LSU rRNA". It matches the Rfam family "Eukaryotic large subunit ribosomal RNA", at positions 1 to 597 of the family's 3401-position model. Lineage: Eukaryota; Fungi; Ascomycota; Sordariomycetes; Ophiostomatales; Ophiostomataceae. The record is from RNAcentral.
UUGACCUCGGAUCAGGUAGGACUACCCGCUGAACUUAAGCAUAUCAAUAAGCGGAGGAAAAGAAACCAACAGGGAUUGCCCCAGUAACGGCGAGUGAAGCGGCAACAGCUCAGAUUUGGAAUCUGGCCCCCAGGGCCCGAGUUGUAAUCUGGAGAGGAUGCUUCUGGCGCGGCGCCUUCCGAGUUCCCUGGAACGGGACGCCGGAGAGGGUGAGAGCCCCGUACGGUCGGACGCCUAGCCUUUGUGAAGCUCCUUCGACGAGUCGAGUAGUUUGGGAAUGCUGCUCAAAAUGGGAGGUAAAUUUCUUCUAAAGCUAAAUAUUGGCCAGAGACCGAUAGCGCACAAGUAGAGUGAUCGAAAGAUGAAAAGCACUUUGAAAAGAGGGUUAAACAGUACGUGAAAUUGUUGAAAGGGAAGCGCCCGUGGCCAGACUUGUGCCCCGCGGACCACCCGGCGCCCUCAGCGCCGGUGCACUCCGCGGGGCGCAGGCCAGCAUCGGUUUUUCCAGGGGGACAAAGGCGGCGGGAACGUGGCUCCCUCGGGAGUGUUAUAGCCCGCCGCGCCAUGCCCCUGGGGGGACCGAGGACCGCG